CCUACGGGUGGCAGCAGUGGGGAAUAUUGCACAAUGGGGGAAACCCUGAUGCAGCGACGCCGCGUGAGUGAAGAAGUAUUUCGGUUCGUAAAGCUCUAUCAUCAGGGAAGAUAAAAAGUCCUUUUGACUUUGAACGAUACCUGACCAAGGAGCCACGGCUAACUACAUGCCAGCAGCCGCGGUAAUACGUAGGGGGCAAGCGUUAUCCGGAUUUACUGGGUGUAAAGGGAGCGUAGACGGGAGAGCAAGUCGGGAGUGAAAUGCCUGGGCCUAACCACAGAACUGCUUUGGAAACUGUGCAGCUGGAGUGCAGGAGAGGUAGGCGGAAUUCCUGGUGUAGCGGUAAAAUGCGUAGAUAUUAAGAGGAACACUAGUGGCGAAGGCGGCUUACUGGAAUGUAACUGACGUUGAGGCUCGAAAGCGUGGGGAGCAAACAGGAUUAGAUACCCGAGUAGUC
This 457-nucleotide ribosomal RNA is filed under the name uncultured bacterium. RNAcentral's name for it is "partial 16S ribosomal RNA". It matches the Rfam family "Bacterial small subunit ribosomal RNA", at positions 338 to 795 of the family's 1533-position model. The record is from RNAcentral.